Molecule: transfer RNA, 75 nt
Filed under: Streptomyces litmocidini
Lineage: Bacteria; Bacillati; Actinomycetota; Actinomycetes; Kitasatosporales; Streptomycetaceae
Description: tRNA-Arg
Source: RNAcentral
GGCCACCGAGGCCUCGGAGGCCUCCGAGGCCUCCGAGGCCUCCGAGGUCCCUGCGAUCCCGGCCCAGGGCGGACG